GACGAACGCUGGCGGCGUGCUUAACACAUGCAAGUCGAACGAAGUGGCGAACGGGUGAGUAACGCGUAAUCAACCUGCCCUUCAGAGGGGGACAACAGUUGGAAACGACUGCUAAUACCGCAUACUGAAGGAGGGGAUUGCGUGUGAUUAGCUGGUUGGAGGGGUAACGGCCCACCAAGGCGUUGAUCAGUAGCCGGUCUGAGAGGAUGAACGGCCACAUUGGGGCUGAGACACGGCCCAGGCUCCGACGGGAGGGAGCAGUGGGGAAUCUUCCGGAAUGGACGAAAGUCUGACGGAGCAAAGCCGGGGGAGUGAUGAAGGCCUUCGGGUUGUAAAGCUCUGUUAAUCGGGACGCGGUAACGGAAGAGAAAGCAACGGCUAACUACGUGCCAGCCGCCGCGGUAAUUC
Molecule: ribosomal RNA, 408 nt
Filed under: uncultured bacterium
Lineage: Bacteria
Description: partial 16S ribosomal RNA
Rfam family: Bacterial small subunit ribosomal RNA
Source: RNAcentral